GUGAAUCCCUUGGCUCAACCAAGGAAGGGCAUUUGAAACUGUCUGGCUUGAGUACGGGAGGGGGAAGUGGAAUUCCCGGUGUAGAGGUGAAAUUCGUAGAUAUCGGGAGGAACACCGGUGGCGAAGGCGGCUUCCUGGACCGAUACUGACGCUGAGACGCGAAAGCGUGGGGAGCAAACAGGAUUAGAUACCCUGGUAGUCCACGCUGUAAACGAUGAGUGCUAGCUGUGGUGGGUAUUGACCCCUGCAGUGCCAAGGGCGAAUUCCACAGUGGAUA
RNAcentral lists this ribosomal RNA (277 nucleotides) under uncultured bacterium. RNAcentral's name for it is "partial 16S ribosomal RNA". It matches the Rfam family "Bacterial small subunit ribosomal RNA", at positions 594 to 870 of the family's 1533-position model. The record is from RNAcentral.